RNAcentral lists this long non-coding RNA (393 nucleotides) under Carica papaya (papaya). Its description in RNAcentral is "long non-coding RNA (CPAP_LNC012235)". Lineage: Eukaryota; Viridiplantae; Streptophyta; Magnoliopsida; Brassicales; Caricaceae. The record is from RNAcentral.
AAAAAAAAGAAAGAAAGAUAGAAAGAGAGGGACUGCAAUUACCAUCAAUCGGUAGCCGAGAGAGGAAAGGAAGAAGAAGAAGUAAAAGGAGAAGUUGGUGCUGCGCACAGCAGUUGGAUUGCAGAAGAAGAACCACGCAGUGGUAGCCAAGUGCGACUUCGCAUUCCCGAGCGUGUUUCGACGUGGUACCACUAUAUAUGUACUGGAUCUAAGGGCAUGAAGCAUUCUACGGUGAAUUCUGACCAAUCCACAAUGGCAAGCGACGUUGAUCGGCGGCAAACAGAGACAGCACAUGGCAGUCUAGUCGCGACGUGUGGACUUUUAGUGAUAGUGUGCAAUGAGUCUUAGGAACCUAGUUUGGAUAGGUGAGUCUAAAAAUCCUAAUAGUUUACC